This 613-nucleotide long non-coding RNA is filed under the name Chrysemys picta bellii (western painted turtle). RNAcentral describes it as "lncRNA (ENSCPBG00000024221.1)". Lineage: Eukaryota; Metazoa; Chordata; Testudines; Emydidae. The record is from RNAcentral.
CCAGACAUUAUUUUACAAAAUGUCUCAAAUUAAACAUUCUCUGUCAAUUACAGAUGAUAGAAAUCUGCUCAGAUGAGAACGUUACUACAAUGCCUGCUUUAAUUGCUACAUUAUAAUCUCCAGACCUGAAAACCCCCAGAGACUCUCGAUAAAUAAGAUGCCUUUCAGCUACGCAGGAAAAACUCCUCAAAAGUCCAUCUCUAUCCCCCGCUUCCUAGAAGAGGAUCCAACUUGGAUUUGAUCAGAAGAAUGAAUAUCACAUAGCAGUGGCAUAACUAUUGGAAAACAUAAGAAUAGCAAUUGUACAGUUCAUAGCAAGAUGAAUGGAUGAAACUGUUUUCAUGGGAAUACAGUGUCCUGAAUCCUCUGCUGAGCACAGCAGGGGAGAGAUGAUCAGGAAGCCACUUUUAACUCCCUGAUCCUGGGGCCAACUUUACACUUAUUCCAGCAAAAGUUGAGAACGAUGCAGGUGUUGCUCUAAAUCCUGCUACCUGGCAACAUCUCCCUAAGAAUAGACGGAAUGCAACAUGCUCUAGCUAACUACAUCAGGAGUUGUGGAUGAGGGCAGCAUAGGAGUUGGCUGCAUCAGCUCUAUGUCUUCUAGAAUUUCUCC